Ceratina calcarata is the source of this 1372-nucleotide long non-coding RNA. RefSeq lists it as uncharacterized. The record is from RefSeq and is a predicted model, not a curated record. NCBI's taxonomy places the organism in Eukaryota, Metazoa, Arthropoda, Insecta, Hymenoptera, Apidae. The transcript is spliced from 3 exons.
CGUGCCGGUCGCAAGUGGUUCCCGCGUUCUGUACCAAUUUUGUACCGGCAUCCGACUUCAACCGUCAACCCCUUGUGCUGUUUCAAUCGUCACCGGCUUAGUAGUUGAUUACUACGCAUUUAUUACAUAACAUUUGACACGAGCUGGCAGAUUUACGAUGCUGGGCGCUGGGCACGCGACAUAUCGAUCUGAUGGAUCCUGGCUUGACAAUCGGUGAAGUAUUGAGUGUAAGGAGUUCGUAAGCAUAAAAUUUGAUAUUCUAUUCGGUUGUUCGUACAUUUUCCGGUAUAUAUCGAGAAUACUAAAGCUAAAUUACUAGAAGUUUCCUAAUUAAAUUCGAACGUAGCAAAGCUGGAAUAAUUUUUAGACGUUUUGUCGCUUGCUGAUUUUUGUUCUAGAAAAAUCGAUCGAUAUUCGAAAAAUAUAUUUUAUUCUUUCUACAAGCUAUUACCAAUUACUGAUACAUUCAAUUGUCAAUACUAGUCGACGCGGAACACGGUAUUAAUAAUAAAAAUCAUUUAGUCUCUGAAUUUUUAUUUUUCCGAUAGAAUUUCAACGGUUUUCCAUGUUCAUCUCGAAUGUUCGAUGGAACAUUUUGUUUCGUUCCACGCGAUUCCAAAUACGCGAUUUCUCGUGAUAGUUUUUUAAAUUCGUAUAAUUUAAAUGACAUGUUUGGCAUUCAUUGAUGAUGCCAAACAUGAUUUAAUAUGUGAUCUGAUAGAAAUUAAUACGAUUUAAUUGAUUUUCAGGGAAAGGCAGUAAAUUUUAAGACAAACGCUCGAUGGUGGACAGCAAUAAAUUGUUUCAUUUGAUUUACCCCCCUACCCAUCCCCUUGUGUAUUAAUUCUGCUUUUUUCCAGAUUCUUCUUUCAGAUUCUUCUUGUGAUCGCGUGCAAUGCGAUCUUAGAGUCAGUGCUUGUUUCGUAAUAAUACUUCUUGAUUUUAUGACCGCGUGCAAUGCGGCCGUAGAAUUCCUUUGCUUCAAUCUUUUUAAUUAAUUAGCUUCAGAUAUCUUUUCCUAUUUCAUUCUAUUCGAUUUUUUAUCAAUUCUGUCGCGAAAUUCGAGUCAGUGCUUAUUCGCCGUUAAAAAUUUGAACGGACAUGUCAGUUAGCUUUCAAAUUAAUUUCCCUUUAUUUUUGCUUGCUCGUUUUCGGUAUUAAAAUCACCUCAAGAAAGAAGGUAGCGCGAAGAGAAAGCAUUCUUCGGUGGGCAGCAAUGGAUUUUAACCUGGCUGCUCCAAGAAUACUUUGUGGUCGCGCGCAAUGCGACCGGUAGAAUCAGUGCUUGCUUCGUAAUAGCUUCUAAUUGAUUUGAAAUAUCUUUUAAUCAGUUUAUAAUUAAUUCCCUAUAGAUUUCUCUUAUUAUUAAUAU